Molecule: ribosomal RNA, 1533 nt
Filed under: Salmonella enterica subsp. enterica serovar Muenchen
Lineage: Bacteria; Pseudomonadati; Pseudomonadota; Gammaproteobacteria; Enterobacterales; Enterobacteriaceae
Also listed under: 1 other name
Description: partial 23S ribosomal RNA
Rfam family: Bacterial large subunit ribosomal RNA
Source: RNAcentral
GGGUUGUGAGGUUAAGCGACUAAGCGUACACGGUGGAUGCCCUGGCAGUCAGAGGCGAUGAAGGGCGUGCUAAUCUGCGAUAAGCGCCGGUAAGGUGAUAUGAACCGUUAUAACCGGCGAUACCCGAAUGGGGAAACCCAGUGUGAUUCGUCACACUAUCAUUAACUGAAUCCAUAGGUUAAUGAGGCGAACCGGGGGAACUGAAACAUCUAAGUACCCCGAGGAAAAGAAAUCAACCGAGAUUCCCCCAGUAGCGGCGAGCGAACGGGGAGGAGCCCAGAGCCUGAAUCAGCAUGUGUGUUAGUGGAAGCGUCUGGAAAGGCGCGCGAUACAGGGUGACAGCCCCGUACACAAAAGCGUAUGUGCUGUGAGCUCGAUGAGUAGGGCGGGACACGUGGUAUCCUGUCUGAAUAUGGGGGGACCAUCCUCCAAGGCUAAAUACUCCUGACUGACCGAUAGUGAACCAGUACCGUGAGGGAAAGGCGAAAAGAACCCCGGCGAGGGGAGUGAAAAAGAACCUGAAACCGUGUACGUACAAGCAGUGGGAGCACCCUUUGGGGUGUGACUGCGUACCUUUUGUAUAAUGGGUCAGCGACUUAUAUUCUGUAGCAAGGUUAACCGAAUAGGGGAGCCGGAGGGAAACCGAGUCUUAAUUGGGCGUUAAGUUGCAGGGUAUAGACCCGAAACCCGGUGAUCUAGCCAUGGGCAGGUUGAAGGUUGGGUAACACUAACUGGAGGACCGAACCGACUAAUGUUGAAAAAUUAGCGGAUGACCUGUGGCUGGGGGUGAAAGGCCAAUCAAACCGGGAGAUAGCUGGUUCUCCCCGAAAGCUAUUUAGGUAGCGCCUCGUGAAUUCAUCUCCGGGGGUAGAGCACUGUUUCGGCUAGGGGGUCAUCCCGACUUACCAACCCGAUGCAAACUGCGAAUACCGGAGAAUGUUAUCACGGGAGACACACGGCGGGUGCUAACGUCCGUCGUGAAGAGGGAAACAACCCAGACCGCCAGCUAAGGUCCCAAAGUCAUGGUUAAGUGGGAAACGAUGUGGGAAGGCACAGACAGCCAGGAUGUUGGCUUAGAAGCAGCCAUCAUUUAAAGAAAGCGUAAUAGCUCACUGGUCGAGUCGGCCUGCGCGGAAGAUGUAACGGGGCUAAACCAUGCACCGAAGCUGCGGCAGCGACACUCAGGUGUUGUUGGGUAGGGGAGCGUUCUGUAAGCCUGUGAAGGUGGCCUGUGAGGGUUGCUGGAGGUAUCAGAAGUGCGAAUGCUGACAUAAGUAACGAUAAAGCGGGUGAAAAGCCCGCUCGCCGGAAGACCAAGGGUUCCUGUCCAACGUUAAUCGGGGCAGGGUGAGUCGACCCCUAAGGCGAGGCCGAAAGGCGUAGUCGAUGGGAAACGGGUUAAUAUUCCCGUACUUGGUGUUACUGCGAAGGGGGGACGGAGAAGGCUAUGUUGGCCGGGCGACGGUUGUCCCGGUUUAAGCGUGUAGGUGUGUGUUCCAGGUAAAUCCGGUUCACUUUAACACUGAGGCGUGA